GACGAACGCUGGCGGCGUGCUUAACACAUGCAAGUCGAACGGAAAGGCCCUGCUUUUGUGGGGUGCUCGAGUGGCGAACGGGUGAGUAACACGUGAGUAACCUGCCCUUGACUUUGGGAUAACUUCAGGAAACUGGGGCUAAUACCGGAUAGGAGCUCCUGCUGCAUGGUGGGGGUUGGAAAGUUUCGGCGGUUGGGGAUGGACUCGCGGCUCAUCAGCUUGUUGGUGGGGUAGUGGCUUACCAAGGCUUUGACGGGUAGCCGGCCUGAGAGGGUGACCGGCCACAUUGGGACUGAGAUACUGCCCAGACUCCUACGGGAGGCAGCAGUGUGGGAUAUUGCACAAUGGGCGGCAGCCUGAUGCAGCAACGCCGCGUGCGGGAUGGCGGCCUUCGGGUUGUAAACCGCUUUCGCCUGUGACGAAGCGUGAGUGACGGUAAUGGGUAAAGAAGCACCGGCUAACUACGUG
This 468-nucleotide ribosomal RNA is filed under the name uncultured bacterium. Its description in RNAcentral is "partial 16S ribosomal RNA". It matches the Rfam family "Bacterial small subunit ribosomal RNA", at positions 28 to 507 of the family's 1533-position model. The record is from RNAcentral.